GACGAACGCUGGCGGCGUGCCUAAUACAUGCAAGUUGAGCGCUGAAGGUUGGUACUUGUACCAACUGGAUGAGCAGCGAACGGGUGAGUAACGCGUGGGGAAUCUGCCUUUGAGCGGGGGACAACAUUUGGAAACGAAUGCUAAUACCGCAUAAAAACUUUAAACACAAGUUUUAAGUUUGAAAGAUGCAAUUGCAUCACUCAAAGAUGAUCCCGCGUUGUAUUAGCUAGUUGGUGAGGUAAAGGCUCACCAAGGCGAUGAUACAUAGCCGACCUGAGAGGAUGACCGGCAAAAUUGGAAUGGAGCCACGGCCAAGACCCCUAGGGGAGGCAGAAGUGGGGAAUAUGGGAAAAGGGGCGAAAGCUGGAUCCAGCCAGACCGGGGGGGUGAAGAAGGUUUUGGGGUUGAAAACCCUUUUGGUAGGGAAAGAAAAGGAGGAGGGUAAAAACCCGAUGAGGUGACGGUACCCACAGAAAAAGAAACGGCUAACUUCGUG
Molecule: ribosomal RNA, 496 nt
Filed under: uncultured bacterium
Lineage: Bacteria
Description: partial 16S ribosomal RNA
Rfam family: Bacterial small subunit ribosomal RNA
Source: RNAcentral